This 255-nucleotide unclassified non-coding RNA is filed under the name Hevea brasiliensis (rubber tree). The record is from RNAcentral. Lineage: Eukaryota; Viridiplantae; Streptophyta; Magnoliopsida; Malpighiales; Euphorbiaceae.
AAAAAUUGUGUCUUGAGGUUUAUAUUUCAUUGUUAAUAACACCCAGAAAGUAAAGAUUGAAUAUUUUACCUUCUCUGAGUCUCGUAUGAUGUCAAUUUCAAGUCGAAAAUCCAAAAGCUUUCUAAUAUUGUUUUUUGGUCUUGUUAUAUUUGAUUUAUUAGCAAAGUGAAGAUUGUUUGAGAGAGAGAAAUGUUUUAGCAAAACUGAUCUGGAUUUUUUUUUCUUCAUUAAUAGGUAAUCUUGGAGACGUAAAAA